GCCGGUUUAGCUCAGUUGGUAGAGCAGCUGAUUUGUAAUCAGAAGGUCGCUGGUUCGAUUCCGGCAACCGGCACCA
RNAcentral lists this transfer RNA (76 nucleotides) under Pseudomonadota bacterium. Its description in RNAcentral is "Proteobacteria bacterium tRNA-Thr". It matches the Rfam family "tRNA". From Rfam's summary of the family: Transfer RNA (tRNA) molecules are approximately 80 nucleotides in length. Their secondary structure includes four short double-helical elements and three loops (D, anti-codon, and T loops). Further hydrogen bonds mediate the characteristic L-shaped molecular structure. tRNAs have two regions of fundamental functional importance: the anti-codon, which is responsible for specific mRNA codon recognition, and the 3' end, to which the tRNAs corresponding amino acid is attached (by aminoacyl-tRNA synthetases). tRNAs cope with the degeneracy of the genetic code in two manners: having more than one tRNA (with a specific anti-codon) for a particular amino acid; and 'wobble' base-pairing, i.e. permitting non-standard base-pairing at the 3rd anti-codon position. Lineage: Bacteria; Pseudomonadati; Pseudomonadota. The record is from RNAcentral. RNAcentral also lists the same sequence under 2 other names.